Molecule: ribosomal RNA, 539 nt
Filed under: Pseudotachycines sp. 2 QDZ-2022a
Lineage: Eukaryota; Metazoa; Arthropoda; Insecta; Orthoptera; Rhaphidophoridae
Description: partial large subunit ribosomal RNA
Rfam family: Bacterial large subunit ribosomal RNA
Source: RNAcentral
AAAAAACAUGUUCUUCUGUAUAAUAAUUUAAGAUUUGACCUGCCCACUGAUAAUAAAUUGAAGGGCCGCGGUAUUUUGACCGUGCAAAGGUAGCAUAAUCAUUAGUCCUUUAAUUGUGGACUGGAAUGAAUGGUUUGACGAGGUAUUUACUGUCUCAUUUUAAUAAUUUGAAUUUAACUUUUAAGUCAAAAGGCUUAAAUGAUUUUAUAGGACGAGAAGACCCUAUAGAGCUUGAUAAUUAUUAAUUAUAAUAUAUUUUUGGUUAAUUAUUUUUAUUAUAAUUAUGAUUAUUUUAUUGGGGUGAUAUAAAGAAUUAUAAAACUCUUUAUUUUUUAAAACAUUAAUUUAUGAUUAAUUGAUCCAUUAUUAAUGAUUAUAAGAUUAAGUUACCUUAGGGAUAACAGCGUUAUUUUUUUUGAGAGUUCUUAUCAACAAAAAAGAUUGCGACCUCGAUGUUGGAUUAAGGUAAAUAUUGGGUGUAGAAGUUCAAUAAAUGGGUCUGUUCGACCAUUAAAUCCUUACGUGAUCUGUUUUCAAGA